AUGCCUUCGUCCACGACGUGUCCCCAGGCCUGGCAAGCCUGGUGCGGCGCUUCGUCAACUUCGUCUUCGUCCGUCUACGCAUGCUCGGUGUUGGCAACACCGGUGCAUGCCUUCGUCCACGACGUAUCCCCGGGCUUGGCAAACCCGCCGCGACGCCUCGUCAACACCAUCCUCCUUCUGGCGCGCCACUACCUCGAUACCACUGCGCCCAUGACUAACUCGGCUCCUUGCGCCCACGGCUCCACGGCGACUUCCUCGACACCGGCUACCCCGACUCGACAUCGACCGCGUCAUUUUUCGCUGGCUACCUCGACCAGGCUCCAUCACACACGCUCUCGGCUACAUCGACAACGACACAAAGGGCUACCGUUUUGCUUGAGCAACCUCGUCGGUUGUCACUCCAGCACGACUCCGCGAUGCAUCGACCGUUACGACUGUGGGGGGUGUCUGUCGGCUUACCUUCGGAUUCUUCUCCAGUCCCACCGUCUGCGUCGCUACCGUUGUGACUGCGGGGGAAUGUUGAGUAUAUUGAUUAGAUUAGAAACAUAG
RNAcentral lists this ribosomal RNA (549 nucleotides) under Triticum aestivum (bread wheat). Its description in RNAcentral is "partial small subunit ribosomal RNA". Lineage: Eukaryota; Viridiplantae; Streptophyta; Magnoliopsida; Poales; Poaceae. The record is from RNAcentral.